AGGGUGACCGGCCACACUGGGACUGAGACACGGCCCAGACUCCUACGGGAGGCAGCAGUGGGGAAUAUUGGACAAUGGGCGAAAGCCUGAUCCAGCAACGCCGCGUGAGGGAUGACGGCCUUCGGGUUGUAAACCUCUUUCAGCAGGGACGAAGCGCAAGUGACGGUACCUGCAGAAGAAGCACCGGCCAACUACGUGCCAGCAGCCGCGGUAAUACGUAGGGUGCGAGCGUUGUCCGGAAUUAUUGGGCGUAAAGGGCUCGUAGGCGGUUUGUCGCGUCGGGAGUGAAAACCCAGGGCUUAACCCUGGGCCUGCUUCCGAUACGGGCAGACUAGAGGUAUGCAGGGGAGAACGGAAUUCCUGGUGUAGCGGUGAAAUGCGCAGAUAUCAGGAGGAACACCGGUGGCGAAGGCGGUUCUCUGGGCAUUACCUGACGCUGAGGAGCGAAAGUGUGGGGAGCGAACAGGAUUAGAUACCCUGGUAGUCCACACCGUAAACGUUGGGCGCUAGGUGUGGGACUCAUUCCACGAGUUCCGUGCCGCAGCUAACGC
RNAcentral lists this ribosomal RNA (551 nucleotides) under uncultured Nocardioides sp. RNAcentral describes it as "bacterial SSU rRNA". It matches the Rfam family "Bacterial small subunit ribosomal RNA", at positions 297 to 858 of the family's 1533-position model. The record is from RNAcentral. Lineage: Bacteria; Bacillati; Actinomycetota; Actinomycetes; Propionibacteriales; Nocardioidaceae.